CACGUAGGGUGCGAGCGUUGUCCGGAAUUAUUGGGCGUAAAGAGCUCGUAGGCGGUGUGUCGCGUCGGCCGUGAAAACCUGUGGCUUAACUAUGGGCUUGCGGUCGAUACGGGCAUCACUGGAGUUCGGCAGGGGAGACUGGAAUUCCUGGUGUAGCGGUGAAAUGCGCAGAUAUCAGGAGGAACACCGGUGGCGAAGGCGGGUCUCUGGGCCAACACUGACGCUCAUGCACGAAAGCGUGGGGAGCAAACAGG
RNAcentral lists this ribosomal RNA (254 nucleotides) under uncultured bacterium. Its description in RNAcentral is "partial 16S ribosomal RNA". It matches the Rfam family "Bacterial small subunit ribosomal RNA", at positions 524 to 776 of the family's 1533-position model. The record is from RNAcentral.